GUUCAGCCCAAUCAGGGCACCGUAGUGGCGCUCGUUCAACCGCCAGGACUUCACCAUGGGCACCCACUCCUGCCCCAUGGCUUCCAGAACCAGCCAGGCGGUGUGUAUCGAGCGGCUCAGCAAAGAGGUUGGCCUUGAAGUCGAAGGACUCCUUCUGCUUGGAGCCCAGCAGAGCCCCCAGCAUGGCUUCGGCCGAAAUCCUCACCCUCUUCAGGUUGGGCCUCUUCAGUUUACCCUUCAGCUCGAAGAUCUUCUGGGACAGGUUUUCAAUCUGUCCCGGGGCAAAGCUCAUUUUUCAGUUACGGUCGCCGGAUUUAGAAAUAGGCAAAACCGGACAACAUGCACAGAUGCUGGAAGCGUAAUUGCGAACGGGGUUGGGAGCUGUCGCGGCUGGGGGAGGGGGUUCCCAUUGGAUCUGAAGGACAGCGGGGGGGUCCUCUCGGAAACGACAUUGGACGUUGGACAGGCGGACUGGGAAAUCAUUGACACAUUAAUUAAUUUAAACUACCACUAAAUUUCCUCCAUCAAUUACUGAGACCGGACAAACUAGACCUGUACAACUAAUUUGAAGACCAAACAUUCCGAUUGAAAACUGGACAUCUAUCAACCCUAGUUUCAUUGUGGAAAAUAAAGUCUCACCCUCUUUACAGUAA
Molecule: long non-coding RNA, 653 nt
Organism: Anguilla anguilla (European eel)
Lineage: Eukaryota; Metazoa; Chordata; Actinopteri; Anguilliformes; Anguillidae
Exons: 2
Source: RefSeq, a predicted model, not a curated record